UGGGCCUCACUUGGUCAGCACAUAAUACCAAAAUUAGAACUGUACAGAGAUUAAGCAUAGCCCCUGUGCAAGGAUGACAUGAAACUUGGGAAGCGUUCCAUAUUUUU
This is a small nuclear RNA of Manis pentadactyla (Chinese pangolin), 107 nucleotides long. The record is from RefSeq and is a predicted model, not a curated record. NCBI's taxonomy places the organism in Eukaryota, Metazoa, Chordata, Mammalia, Pholidota, Manidae.